AGAGGGGAGGUGGACAAAAAUAGAAGAAACCAGAAAUGUCAAUAGAGAAAUCAAAGCAGAGAGGGGAGUUCAAGCAUGCCAGAGACUCAGGCGGCAGGAGAGGAGCAAAAGGUUAAUGAGGCUCAGUGCAGCGGGAUUACUGCGUGAACGGGCUGCAGCGGGCGAGCCAGCCGUGGUGACAGGGAACUAAUUAGGAGCAGUUUAACAGGAGGAAAAAGUGAAAUCUCCUCUUCACCAACUGUCAAUGAUUAGCUGAUUUGGUGAGGCUGAAAUGCAUCCACAGGAAAAGGUGGGCUUUUCUAUAGAUAAGUGAGGCUUGGGGGGACCUUUGGGGUAACGGGGCUCUGCCCUGUCCUUAGGUGGGGUCAGAGUGGAGGCUGCCUGUGUCUCCCAGGCCUGCCAUCCUCCUCUCUGGCUGCCAGAAUCCCUCGCUUCACAGCCUUGGUCUUAACCCUGAAGACCUCAGCUUCCCGUCAUGAAAAAAAGGUGUUGAACUUCAGUUUCUUCUGGUUUGGCCCAUCCAGGCACUGGUGAGUGGAGCCAGAGACCAGGCCUGGCUCUAGACUCUGGAGCUAAGCAUGACCUUUGGUCCAGUGCUGACCUCAGGGCCUUGUCUGUGGCAUAGAACAUCCCUGGAGAGUCACCUCUGUGAUGAGACUCCAGAUACCCGCAUGUGGGUUACUAAAUGACUAAUGGGCAGUCUCACCUUGCUCAGGAGUUACCUCCUGUCCCUCCCUCACCCCAGCAGUGGGCAGGGUCACAGGACAGAGGCAGGAGGGGGAGGGACCCUGGCAGCAUCUUGAGGACACCCCCCACCCUGCUUCCCCACCAGCUCUGAAGUCAGGUUCAUCACAGGAAAGGUCGUUUCCUGUUUGGCCAGUUUGCUGUCUGCCUGCCCUGCUGUUGUGGUGUGCUGGCCUCUGCCCUUUGACCUCCCUGCCUCCUCCCUCCUUCUAUCCUUCCAGAUUCUACCUGACUAAAAGAAAAGCAAUCACAGGGCCAGCCCCCCAUCCUCCUCCUGGACCCUUCCCCUCAGCCUAGCCUCAACACACCAAGGCACUAAGGCACUAACUGGAAUUUCUGGGCUAGGGGUGAAGGUCCUGCUCAGGUCCUGGCACCAUUUACAGGCCUGAGGGGUCCUACAGUAUUGUAAAGAGAUAGUCCAGCUGAGUCUCUUCCUUCCUCACUCCUAUCUCCUCUCCCUUUAUGUUCCCCCUUCCCACCUGCAGAAACAAAGAUGCACCCUUUUCCUGCAUGGAAAAUUAGGUAGAUACCCCAAUGGAUCUCUCUCCAUUAUUCUCCCUGAGGAUGAGAGCUAUGAUUCCCCCAGGAGCAAGUGACUUUCCCAGACUUCUCCAAGAAUCAAGUUAUUCUAAAAACAGCCCCUUGUCCAGAAGUACUCACUUAACAGUCCUACUGGGAUGUUUGCUCUCACCUGUGUGUACGGGGUGACCUGUGCUUCCAGUGAUCCCAUUUUUCUCAUCUGAAUGACUGUGCUUUCUUCCUCCCUAAGGCUGAGAAUAAACUCUAUAUGGAUUUUAGCUCACCCAGAUUCCCUGGACUUUUACUCCUGUUUCUCCCAUUCUUCCUGGAGGGAUAUGGGUCCAAAGGUCAAGUCAGAGGGUGG
Suncus etruscus (white-toothed pygmy shrew) is the source of this 1627-nucleotide long non-coding RNA. RefSeq lists it as uncharacterized. The transcript is spliced from 2 exons. Lineage: Eukaryota; Metazoa; Chordata; Mammalia; Eulipotyphla; Soricidae. The record is from RefSeq and is a predicted model, not a curated record.